Drosophila pseudoobscura is the source of this 547-nucleotide long non-coding RNA. RefSeq lists it as uncharacterized. Lineage: Eukaryota; Metazoa; Arthropoda; Insecta; Diptera; Drosophilidae. The record is from RefSeq and is a predicted model, not a curated record. The transcript is spliced from 2 exons.
AGUUAAAAUAUAAUUUCAGGAAAGAAAUCAUCAUAGAGCCGCACACAGACGGAGGCAGAAGCCCAGAAGCCCAAGCGUGGAGAGGCACUAAAAGUAAAACAUCAAAGUGAAUGCCGUGGCCACCGUGGCGGUGGCAGGAGCAGGAGACGCACAUACACUGUACAAAAUUAUAUAUGCUACUUAAAGACAAAAUGGUACAAAAUCUCAAGUUUGCCCCGACAUAUCUUCAGAUACAGCCAUGUGUUGCAAAGACUGUGCUUGUCACAGCUCAAGCGAGCUGCAGAGACAGAGACAGAGAAAGAGAAAGAGACAACCCUCAAAGUUCCGUCCGGACUCCAUGCACCGCAGCCCCACACUCCAAAAACUCCGGAGUGGUCUGGCAGUUGUUGAGGGAAUGUUGAAUGGAAGAGAACGACGCAUUUACGUAUCCCUCCCACGCACAGCCAUGUUUCAUUUUUUGUACUCACGAGUAUCUGUGCAUGUGGAGCCCCUGAGACAUCAACCGUUUGAAUGCGUAAUUGAUUUAGCAGCAAACAAAAAACAAAAA